Molecule: small RNA, 131 nt
Filed under: Escherichia coli
Lineage: Bacteria; Pseudomonadati; Pseudomonadota; Gammaproteobacteria; Enterobacterales; Enterobacteriaceae
Description: RtT sRNA
Rfam family: RtT RNA
About the family: This family represents a bacterial cis-regulatory element known as RtT RNA.
Source: RNAcentral
UUCUGCCCAUGCGGGGAAGGAUGAGAAGCUUCGACCAAGGUUCGACUCGAGCGCCAGCGAGAGAGCGUUGCCGCAGGCAACGACCCGAAGGGCGAAGCGCGCAGCGCUGAGUAAUCCUUCCCCCACCCCCA